UACGAAGGGGGCUAGCGUUGUUCGGAAUUACUGGGCGUAAAGCGCACGUAGGCGGGUGGUUAAGUCAGGGGUGAAAUCCCGGAGCUCAACUCCGGAACUGCCUUUGAUACUGGCCAUCUAGAGAUCGGAAGAGGUGAGUGGAAUUCCCAGUGUAGAGGUGAAAUUCGUAGAUAUUGGGAAGAACACCAGUGGCGAAGGCGGCUCACUGGUCCGAUACUGACGCUGAGGUGCGAAAGCGUGGGGAGCAAAC
This 250-nucleotide ribosomal RNA is filed under the name uncultured bacterium. Its description in RNAcentral is "partial 16S ribosomal RNA". It matches the Rfam family "Bacterial small subunit ribosomal RNA", at positions 524 to 773 of the family's 1533-position model. The record is from RNAcentral.